UGGUAAUUCUAGAGCUAAUACAUGCUGAAAACCCCGACUUCGGGAGGGGUGUAUUUAUUAGAUAAAAAACCAACGCCCUUCGGGGCUCCUUGGUGAUUCAUGAUAACUUAACGAAUCGCAUGGCCUUGCGCCGGCGAUGGUUCAUUCAAAUUUCUGCCCUAUCAACUUUCGAUGGUAGGAUAGUGGCCUACCAUGGUAUCAACGGGUAACGGGGAAUUAGGGUUCGAUUCCGGAGAGGGAGCCUGAGAAACGGCUACCACAUCCAAGGAAGGCAGCAGGCGCGCAAAUUACCCAAUCCCGACACGGGGAGGUAGUGACAAUAAAUACUGAUACAGGGCUCUUUUGGGUCUUGUAAUUGGAAUGAGUACAAUUUAAAUCCCUUAACGAGGAACAAUUGGAGGGCAAGUCUGGUGCCAGCAGCCGCGGUAAUUCCAGCUCCAAUAGCGUAUAUUAAAGUUGUUGCAGUUAAAAAGCUCGUAGUUGAACCUUGGGCCUGGCCGGCCGGUCCGCCUCACCGCGUGCACUGGUUCGGCCGGGCCUUUCCUUCUGGGGAGCCGUAUGCCCUUCACUGGGUGUGCUGGGGAACCAGGACUUUUACUUUGAAAAAAUUAGAGUGUUCAAAGCAGGCCUUUGCUCGGAUACAUUAGCAUGGAAUAAUAGAAUAGGACGUGCGGUUCUAUUUUGUUGGUUUCUAGGACCGCCGUAU
RNAcentral lists this ribosomal RNA (706 nucleotides) under Lichenothelia convexa. RNAcentral describes it as "SSU rRNA". It matches the Rfam family "Eukaryotic small subunit ribosomal RNA", at positions 150 to 865 of the family's 1831-position model. Lineage: Eukaryota; Fungi; Ascomycota; Dothideomycetes; Lichenotheliales; Lichenotheliaceae. The record is from RNAcentral.